CCUACGGGAGGCAGCAGUGGGGAAUAUUGCGCAAUGGGCGAAAGCCUUACGCAGCGACGCCGCGUGAAGGAAGAAGGCUUUCGGGUUGUAAACUUCUUUUCUCAGGGACGAAGAAAGUGACGGUACCUGAGGAAUAAGCCACGGCUAACUACGUGCCAGCAGCCGCGGUAAUACGUAGGUGGCAAGCGUUAUCCGGAUUUAUUGGGUGUAAAGUGCGUGUAGGCGGGAGCGCAAGUCAGAUGUGAAAACUCAGGGCUCAACCCUGAGCCUGCAUUUGAAACUGUGUUUCUUGAGUGCUGGAGAGGCAAUCGGAAUUCCGUGUGUAGCGGUGAAAUGCGUAGAGAUACGGAGGAACACCAGUGGCGAAGGCGGAUUGCUGGACAGUAACGGACGCUGAGGCGCGAAAGCGUGGGGAGCAAACAGGAUUAGAUACCCGGGUAGUC
RNAcentral lists this ribosomal RNA (443 nucleotides) under uncultured bacterium. Its description in RNAcentral is "partial 16S ribosomal RNA". It matches the Rfam family "Bacterial small subunit ribosomal RNA", at positions 338 to 795 of the family's 1533-position model. The record is from RNAcentral.